This 526-nucleotide ribosomal RNA is filed under the name uncultured bacterium. RNAcentral describes it as "bacterial SSU rRNA". It matches the Rfam family "Bacterial small subunit ribosomal RNA", at positions 983 to 1509 of the family's 1533-position model. The record is from RNAcentral.
GACAUACUAAGAACUUUCCAGAGAUGGAUUGGUGCCUUCGGGAACUUAGAUACAGGUGCUGCAUGGCUGUCGUCAGCUCGUGUCGUGAGAUGUUGGGUUAAGUCCGCAACGAGCGCAACCCUUUUCCUUAUUUGCCAGCGGGUAAUGCCGGGAACUUUAAGGAUACUGCCAGUGACAAACUGGAGGAAGGCGGGGACGACGUCAAGUCAUCAUGGCCCUUACGGCCAGGGCUACACACGUGCUACAAUGGUCGGUACAAAGGGUUGCUACCUCGCGAGAGGAUGCUAAUCUCAAAAAGCCGAUCGUAGUCCGGAUCGCAGUCUGCAACUCGACUGCGUGAAGUCGGAAUCGCUAGUAAUCGCGGAUCAGAAUGCCGCGGUGAAUACGUUCCCGGGCCUUGUACACACCGCCCGUCACACCAUGGGAGUUUGUUGCACCAGAAGUAGGUAGUCUAACCGCAAGGAGGACGCUUACCACGGUGUGGCCGAUGACUGGGGUGAAGUCGUAACAAGGUAAGCGUAGAUGA